CUACGGGACGCAGCAGUGAGGAAUAUUGCGCAAUGGAGGCAACUCUGACGCAGCCAUGCCGCGUGCAGGAAGAAGGCCUUAUGGGUCGUAAACUGCUUUUAUUUAGGAAUAAACCCCCGAACGUGUUCGGGGCUGAAGGUACUAAACGAAUAAGCACCGGCUAACUCCGUGCCAGCAGCCGCGGUAAUACGGAGGGUGCAAGCGUUAUCCGGAUUUAUUGGGUUUAAAGGGUGCGCAGGCGGGCUAUUAAGUCAGUGGUGAAAUCCCGGGGCUCAACUCCGGAACUGCCAUUGAUACUGAUAGUCUUGAGUUUGGUUGAAGUGGGCGGAAUGUAGCAUGUAGCGGUGAAAUGCAUAGAUAUGCUACAGAACACCAAUCGCGAAGGCAGCUCACUAAGCCAAAACUGACGCUCAUGCACGAAAGCGUGGGGAUCAAACAGGAUUAGAUACCCCGGAGUC
This 458-nucleotide ribosomal RNA is filed under the name uncultured bacterium. RNAcentral describes it as "partial 16S ribosomal RNA". It matches the Rfam family "Bacterial small subunit ribosomal RNA", at positions 339 to 795 of the family's 1533-position model. The record is from RNAcentral.